ACGCUCGACACCUACGGGAGGCGGCAGUGGGGAAUAUUGCACAAUGGGGGAAACCCUGAUGCAGCGACGCCGCGUGAGCGAAGAAGUAUUUCGGUAUGUAAAGCUCUAUCAGCAGGGAAGAAACUGACGGUACCUGACUAAGAAGCACCGGCUAAAUACGUACCAGCAGCCGCGGUAAUCUGAGCGGGCUGGCAAGGC
This 198-nucleotide ribosomal RNA is filed under the name uncultured bacterium. Its description in RNAcentral is "partial 16S ribosomal RNA". It matches the Rfam family "Bacterial small subunit ribosomal RNA", at positions 328 to 539 of the family's 1533-position model. The record is from RNAcentral.